This 70-nucleotide transfer RNA is filed under the name Salmo salar (Atlantic salmon). It matches the Rfam family "tRNA", at positions 8 to 63 of the family's 71-position model. From Rfam's summary of the family: Transfer RNA (tRNA) molecules are approximately 80 nucleotides in length. Their secondary structure includes four short double-helical elements and three loops (D, anti-codon, and T loops). The record is from Rfam by way of RNAcentral. Lineage: Eukaryota; Metazoa; Chordata; Actinopteri; Salmoniformes; Salmonidae.
UGGCUCAAUUGGUAGAGCAUGGUGUUAGCAAUGGUGUUUGCAACGCCAGGGUUGUGGGUUCGAUUCCCAC